UGGCUGUCUGCAGCCUUGACCGCCUGGGCUAAAAUGAUCCUCCCACCUCAGCCCACCAAGUACCUGAGACUACAGGGAUGUGCCACCAUUCCUGGCUAUUUUUUUAUUAUUAUUAUUAUUUUUUUUUUUUUUUUGAAGAGAUGAGGGUCUUGCUGUGCAUGCCUUCCCAACAAUCCCCCAAAGUCUUAAUUCAUUCCAGCAUUAACCCAAAAGUCCAACCAUUCUAAAUGGGAGAAAUUGGCCAAAACAAAGGGGACACAGGUCCCAUUCAAGUCUGAAAUCAGCUGGGUGGUCAUUAAGCCUUAAUGUUAACCACUGCACCUGGUCAGUAUUUAAAAAUAUAUAUGUAUAUAUUUUGCUGUAUUGUUAUUCCACUGGAUCUAUAUGAAAAACAGCGACCUCCCAAACAUCAAACUCAGUGGCUCGUUGAGUCAUUCCAUAGCAUUUCCCUUUGUGACUGCCCAUUCUGUAAACCUGCCUCUCUUUCUUCCAUGCAAGGAACUUCACGUUUCCCUCUGGCACAGACCUCUCUCCCAAGUUCCAAACGUCCACUGGAUUUUACCCUGGCAUUUAUUCUUGGUUUCUUAGGGAUCCAAAUACAAAGAGUUAACACAUUUUCCAAAAAUUCUUAUAUGAAUUUCUUCAAUCGGAAUUUAAUUAGGCACCCUUUUGUUGAGUACAUGGAAUUGUGUGGAACUAAAGGAACUAUGACAUUUUGACUGGGCAGGCUCCAGUUCUGGACAGGUCUUGAUUUAUUGCGACUGAGUCCCAACCAACUUUGAUUUAUUUCAGCUUAGGGGAGGAAGGCAAGCUUGGAACAGAAAAGCGCUGUUGAAUGUUGAGCACGUGAUGUCAGGACAGGCCCUCCAGACUUCCAGGGGCACGGGACAAGCGGUUCAGAAGAGAAUGGCUUCUGAGAAAGCCAUUUUAAAACCCUAAGAUUUAAAUAACACGAAAUUGUACCAGACAAAAUAAAUGUAAUCACAGAGGAGAGAAAAUGGCUCCUGAAACAGUUGGCUGAUUGUGGCAGGGUAGGAAGCCCCAGCCUUAUCUCUGGGAAAAGGAGGAAACCCUGGGGGCCUUACUGUUAAUCAGGACUCUCAUUUGCAUUCGGGGGCUGCUCUGUGUGGCCGUCUGUCCUUCCUGAGAGCAAAGGCCAGGAGGACUGCCCCCUCCUCGGCAACACCAACAACUGAUAGUCCAUUAAAUGAGAGCAGAUUUCCUUUUUGCAGGCAGACAGAAUAAGUCAAAAGAAGGCAAAGUUACUCCAUUAAGCAAAGACAAAAGGGUCAGUCCAUUUAACGAACGAAUUUGUUUCCUUUCCGGCCAGGCUUUCCUGACAGAGCCGAUAGUAGAGUGCUGUGCUCACUGCUGUGUCCUUGAGCGUGGGUUGUCAGAACAGUGACUCGCCGGCUCCCACACCAGCAAUGCGCAGUACCUUCCUGUUGGCCAAGUUAGGGCUCAGGGUGGUGCCCACUUAAUACCUCACUGCAGGCUUCACUGGGCCUAGCAUGAUGCCUCGCACAUAGCCAGGAGCCCCCAGCACAGCAGCUUUGACUGCUGACAAAGCCCUGUUCCCUCCUUGGGGGUGGCAGAAGGAGUGCAUGAGAUGGACCUGUCCCCAGUGUCACAUGGUUGACAAAGGGCAACGUCAACAAUUCUCAGAGGCAACGUUAAGUUCCUUAAAAGGGAGAUAAUGGUAGGAAAAAUGUGUUGCAAAACAAAGAAGAGGGGAAGCAGAAGAAAGGGGAUAAGGGCAGAAAAGAUGGAUAGAGGUAGCAUGGCCCAAGCAAGUAAGAACAGCACAAGCUCUGGCAUCCAUGACAUGAGAUCCAAACUCCAUCCCAGCGACUUACCUGCAUGUGCUCUGUGCAAGCUACUUAACCAAGCGAUGCCUCCUUUGGGCAGCGAGCACUUAUUCUCAGGGCAGCUGUGAGGUCCAGGGGAAAGCCUUGCAAAGCUCUUCCACACUGGGCCUCACCCCUGGUGCCGAGGGCACUGGCCGGUGUCAUUAGAGGUGGGGCCUCAAAGGUGCCUGUGCAUCUGCAUGUGGGGCCAGCACAUAGCUGUGGGUGCUGGCGUGUAGGUGGGACCUCAAAGGUGCCUGUGCAUCUGCAUGUGGGGCCAGCACAUAGCUGUGGGUGCUGGCGUGUAGGUGGGACCUCAAAGGUGCCUGUGCAUCUGCAUGUGGGGCCAGCACAUAGCUAUGGGUGCUGGCGUGUAGGUGGGGCCUAAAAGGUGCCUGUGCAUCUGCAUGUGGGGCCAGCACAUAGCUGUGGGUGCUGGCGUGUAGGUUGGACCUCAAAGGUGCCUGUGCAUCUGCAUGUGGGGCCAGCACAUAGCUGUGGGUGUUGGUGUGUAGGUGGGACCUCAAAGGUACCUGUGCAUCUGCAUGUGGGGCCAGCACAUAGCUGUGGGUGCUGGCGUGUAGGUGGGGCCUCAAAGGUACCUGUGCAUCUGCAUGUGGGGCCAGCACAUAGCUAUGGGUGCUGGCGUGUAGGUGGGACCUCAAAGGUACCUGUGCAUCUGCAUGUGGGGCCAGCACAUAGCUGUGGGUGCUGGCUUGUAGGUGGGACCUCAAAGGUACCUGUGCAUCUGCAUGUGGGGCC
RNAcentral lists this long non-coding RNA (2609 nucleotides) under Homo sapiens (human). RNAcentral's name for it is "non-protein coding lnc-FOXC1-9:4". The record is from RNAcentral. Lineage: Eukaryota; Metazoa; Chordata; Mammalia; Primates; Hominidae.